RNAcentral lists this small RNA (84 nucleotides) under Microbulbifer sp. THAF38. Its description in RNAcentral is "isrK Hfq binding RNA". It matches the Rfam family "isrK Hfq binding RNA". Lineage: Bacteria; Pseudomonadati; Pseudomonadota; Gammaproteobacteria; Cellvibrionales; Microbulbiferaceae. The record is from Rfam by way of RNAcentral.
GUUGCGGCAAAAUCCGUAACCGGGAUUGGAACCCCGAAACUACAAGGCGACCCGAAGCCGCCUACCCCCGUAUGCGGUUUUUUU